AUGGCUCGUGGCGAUCAUCAAAAUGAUGACGAUGAUUUCAUGGAUCCACCACAGCGUAAUCGGGCAACUGGACGGAGAAAAGAGGGUGAUGAGAGGAAGAAACGUAUUCGCAACAGAGCCUCCCAAGAACGCCUGACUGUGUUGAUUAACAAAUUCAUCAACGAUCAAAAGGGAGCUGCUGCUGAGAUGGGUAUGCAGGCUCUGAUGGAUGUCCGGUGCACGAACCUUGUUAGCCCUGUAUGCGACUGGCUUAGUGAGAUCUACGAGCCUGCCUCCAGGGAAUUCGUGAUUCCGGGAUAUGGAAGACUUCCGUUGAACGAGGAAUCCGUGUUCUGCACUUUGGGUGUGCCUCGUGGACAUAUCAAAGUCCCAUACGAGGUCAAUAAUGAGAUCGAGGAAGCGUUGUUCGCCCGUUUGUUUCCUGGAUUGGAGUCCAUGCCGAACACGUCUGCACUGGCAGAUUCGCUGCAGGCCAUGACGACGCACGGAGAUGUUUUCAAGAUGAAGCUACUCAUGUACCUCAUCUCAGCUGUUUUUGCGCCGACCACUUCUCUUCGCCCAAGCAACAAAUGCUUCCCCAUCCUAGCGAAUCUGAAAAAUGUGAAGAACAUGAACUGGUGUAGGUUUAUUGCCGACUUCCUCCACGAUGCUUUCGCAAACAAGAUGUACCAAAAGGGUUGUCAACUGCAUUUAAUGCUCAUGUAUGUCGACUGUCUUGAUCUGUCCACUCUGGAUUUCACUGGGGUAGGAGGCCCGCCGCCUAUGCACAAGUUUGUUGUUUCUGCGUGGACUAUCAACGCUGUCAAGGCUGUGCUUGCCGCAGACAGGGCAACUGAUACCACAUAUGGAAAACUGCAGCUGAUGGCCAAGCAUGCUAUAGACUACAGCGUGUUUGGGGGGCCUCAAAACUUUGGAAAGUGGAUGGACGUGCACUCAGCUCCGUCUUGCCCUUCUGAGGGCACCUGUUGA
Molecule: ribosomal RNA, 969 nt
Filed under: Triticum aestivum (bread wheat)
Lineage: Eukaryota; Viridiplantae; Streptophyta; Magnoliopsida; Poales; Poaceae
Description: partial small subunit ribosomal RNA
Source: RNAcentral